Long non-coding RNA from Eriocheir sinensis (Chinese mitten crab), 4033 nucleotides. RefSeq lists it as uncharacterized. The transcript is spliced from 6 exons. NCBI's taxonomy places the organism in Eukaryota, Metazoa, Arthropoda, Malacostraca, Decapoda, Varunidae. The record is from RefSeq and is a predicted model, not a curated record.
CUGGAACACGUAAAUGGUUACCUAACAAUAUAUAGCAAGGGUUGAUCUAGAAUGAUGUACGUCUUGAAGCGCUGCGCCACAUUCAGAUUAGCCUGAAUUGGCAGUGAAUGUCUGAAUGAAUAAGCCAUCCUUUGACUGAAUAUCUCAAGCUUCACGUCGCUGAGCUCUUUACAUUUAACUUUCCAGAGCUCAUUGGCUGGCUGUAAGGGGAACGUUCACAGGUGGUAAGAUGUCCGGCAUGGCUGAGAAACAAAUACAAGAGGGAGAGACAGACAGAGAGAGAAAAAGUAGACAGACAGACAGGGAAAUACAAGAGAGUGUUUGCAAGGCGCGGCCAAAAAUGGUCUACCAUAUACGAGUCACAAGAAGAAGAAGAGGAACGCGGGAGGAUGGCGGUCACAACACUCGGCUGGGCGUGGAGUCACCGAAGUAUCAUGUUAGCCUUGCAGUCAGCUGUGUCCUGGGCCAACCCACAGCUGGUGAGGGAGUGCCCACCCACCCCCACCUCAUGGCCCUCUGCAAUGGCUCCCUGCACCAGUACACCAGGGGAGCAGCGAGAAAGAGAGAGAGAGAGAGAGCACUGAGAUGAAAGAGUGAGCCGAAGAGAUGACCGACAAGAGAACGAGAUGAAAUGAUAGAGGUGGACUGAGAAGCGGCUUGUUGGAGGGCUGCGAGGGAUGUCAGACACGUGCCAGACCCCACUAACACACUAGACAACAUAGUGAUGAAAUAUACCAGCUGACUGAGAUGACGCUAUUUUGAAUUUACGAAUUCAAGCAAACCACAGCACGACGUCUAUAGUGUACAUGGUAGUGCAGCUCAGUGACUACUUGAAGAGGGUUUUCUGGUCUGCCCCUCGGAAUGCCACGAAGGUGGAAGUUGCAGCAUUUCCGUCACCUAUCAGCACGCUGUCCCUGCACGCCUCAGUCCCAUCAGCCUUCCUUCAAGACAGCACCAGGAUGUCCCAUCACUAAGUGUAAGGAGUCAUGCCAUCCUUGGGCUUGUUAGAGGGCUGUGACAGCUGGCAGGCCCUGCAGUGCACCACACCUGAAAGAAGGAACAGUUCAACAUGAAUAUUGAUGACAUUCUAGCUUUAUCAACUAUCCAACUUGUCUCAGGGUGUAGAAACAAAUUACUUAAUAGUUGUUAUAGUUUUUUUUGUAUAUAUUUUGAAAGUAUGUAGUAUGUUCAUUAAAGAUAUGGCUGGGGACACUCAUCUUGUUUGAUUUAAUAAUGUUAUUAGUCUUUCUCUCUGGGGGCUUUUUGAGGUAGCCUAUUAUGGAGUUUUUUGACCUACCUAUUAGUGCAGAUUUCAUGCAUUUUGUGCUAUUUCUUAAACUUUUUUACCAUUCCUGUACAGAUUUAACAUUUAUUGUCCCAUUAAACAUAGAAAUUCAGAGUAGAAUAUUGCAAUUGCUAAAGUCACAGCCAUUUUUACUCCAGUUAAAAUACUAUAUCAGUAAGGUGAUGGUUAGUUGGUGCACUGUACUCAACAUUUGCUUGUGAAUUUACUGAGAGACUUGAAAAUGGUAGAUUUUUGCUGUCCAGCAUGUGUAGAAAGAAUCAAUGGAGGUGAUCUGCCAACCAGGAAAGGAAGAAGCAGAAACUACAGAAAUGCUAAUGGUGUAACAAAAGUGAAACAGUUUUCCUAUCUAUGAUGUCUUGGAGAGCGAAGGUGGAGUGGAAGGAGCAGUAAGAACAUGGGUAGCAACAUGAAGGUUAAUGGAGAGAUAGCAGGACUGCUGAUUAAUAGGAGCAUUCCACUGAAAAUAGGAAAAGUAUUUUAAACAUGCAUCAGCUCAGUAUUGCUAUGUGGCUCUGAGACAUGGGCUUUAAUGAAGAAGGGGAUAAUGAAGAGUGAAUAAUGACAAGAUACUUAUAUGAAUCUGCUCCUUGCCAGCUGUCCAGUUACCACAGAGCUGAAGAUCACCUAGUUUGGUCUGUCUUCCGUUCUUCCUUUCAGCCUAGCUCCACAUUCUCCCCUGUGAUAAAAAGGAACAAAAUGAAAAACUGGACAUUAUGUAAAUUGUGUUUGGGGGCUUAUGUAAAGAAGAAAUAAGACAACAAUUCUAUCCAUUCUAUCCUACAUUUUAUUAGAUAUUGUGAUAACUUAGUGUUGCCCUCCAUCAGCUCUGUUGUAGGAUAAGGGGCAUAGAAGAGAUGGAAUCACUCCCUUGUCCCUCUCCCUCCCUUAAGCACUACAGGAAGUAUGGUGUGAAAAGACAAAGACAGAAAUGUAUACAAGAUAGAUAUGACAAUAUGUAGUCAUCUCAUUACACUCACUGCUUCAUCUGUUGCUGCCUAGAACACUCCCACACCCUGUAUUAUCAUGACCUUUUAUUAAUCCUUGCUGUCACUUUUCUUUAUAGCUCUUCCAUACAUCUUUCCUUGCAUCCUGAGAUGUUAUAAUCAUCCCCAAUCCAUUCUCUUUUUAACAGAGGCACAACAAUGUGUUUUUUCUUUAUUUUUUUGCACCUCAUCCUUCUGCAUGCAAUGGUAAAUAGCAUACCCACACACAACUUUCCUCUCCAUGCAAGGGACCUUUCCUGGUUUAACUUCAUUAUUGCCUCCUUUAGCUAACCCUCGUUACCUUCCCCUGUGGACACCGCUGCCCUACAUUUAUAUUUACUCCAAUAUUUCUGCUCUCCCUCCUACACUCAUGACAGAUUUUAAAUGCUUCUUCCAUACCUCCUCUAUUUACUCAUUUCUGACUAGAAUAUUUACUUAAAAUAAUAGAGACGAAGUAAUUAUGUUUGUCACUCACAUGGUUAAUGAAGACCACAAAUGCUGGUCUCUCUCUCUCUCUCUCUCUCUCUCUCUCUCUCUCUCUCUCUCUCUCUCAUAUCUAUAAACAAUCUAAACCUACAACAAAACAUAACAAAGUGGACUUUCAUAGAUCACCGCGUCGCCCUGCCCUGCCCUACAAGUCCCGCUGGAAAGCCGCCAAAGAGAGAACAUUUAACAUUGGGAGAGAUUUAACUGAGGAGAGAGAAGUGGGAAGGGCAAGACAGGAGGAAGAACAGCAGGAGGAGGAGGAAGAAACUACAGUAAAAUAACACCUUGGACUCUUUCCUUCGCGCUAAUCAACAUUCCACCGAAGAAAGUUGGUAGAGGUAAGGUAAGAGGAGUCGGAGGAGUGGAAAUGACUAAGAAAACAGCAUAUUAUGGACUUAUGAUCCUUUCAAGAGCACUACAGCUAACACUGCCAUUAUGAAGGCCAAGUUGAAGAGUUGCGGGACGAAGGCAGAGUAGAGAAAGAGGUAAGAGGAGGAGGAGGAAGAGGGUGGAAAUGACUAAGAGAACAGCAAAUUAGUCAAACCUUUGAUCCCUUCUCGAGCGCUAUACCAAACAAUAUAAAAAGUUAACGGUUGCGGGACGAAGACAAACUUGAGCUGCCGCCAUAAGGGUCAGCACUUAGAUAUCAACAGGUGGCGGGCGGUGGACGAAGCGAAGUUAGGUGAAGUUACGCGGGAGUGUGUGACGCACGGCCCGUGACGCAAAACUUCUGAGAGCGGUGAAAAGGGAACGGCGGUGAGAGAAGGAGGAAGAGGAUGAAUUAAGAAGACUAAGAGAACAGCAAAUUAAUACAGCUAUGAUCCCUUCUUAUAAGCACUAUACCAAACACUGCCAUAUCAUAUAAGACAAGUUACAGGACGGAGCUAGAAUGUACGAAAGAGGCAAGAAGAGGAGGAGGUUGGAACACACUAAAAUAACAGCAAAUUAGUACACUUUUGAUGCCUCUUGUAUCUUGCCUUAUCUCCCUCUUCUCUACUUUCUGUCCUCGUCUCGCAACUCUUGUCUUGAGAUGGGCGGCGGCGGUGACGAGGAGGGGGGCUGGCUGGUGGUUGCUAGGUCUGGCUGGGUCAUCAUCUCGAUCCAUUCCUGAGAAAGAAGGUCACUGAUAGCGUCGACCAAUCAGGAUUCAAGAAGCUGAACGAGCUGACCAAUGGGCUUCGAGUGGACCGAGCAAGCCACUCACUUCAAUAUUUGAGAAGAAAAGAGAAACUGACACAAUUACGGAACUGAAUUGAAG